RNAcentral lists this RNase P RNA (367 nucleotides) under marine eukaryotic metagenome. Its description in RNAcentral is "Bacterial RNase P class A". It matches the Rfam family "Bacterial RNase P class A". From Rfam's summary of the family: Ribonuclease P (RNase P) is a ubiquitous endoribonuclease, found in archaea, bacteria and eukarya as well as chloroplasts and mitochondria. Its best characterised activity is the generation of mature 5'-ends of tRNAs by cleaving the 5'-leader elements of precursor-tRNAs. Cellular RNase Ps are ribonucleoproteins. The record is from RNAcentral.
GCGUUUGCUUGUAAUUUACAAGAGGAAAGUCCGGACACCGAAGAGCAGAGUUCCCUAUGAAAGUGGGGGCUAAUUAUAUUACGUAAAUGUUUUAGUAGGCUAACAUAAGUUAGCACAUAAAUGUUUGAACUAAUGUAAAAAGACGGAUAGUAUCACAGAAAAUAAACCGCCUAAUUUAAUUUAGGUAAGGGUGAAAAGGUGAGGUAAGAGCUCACCGCACCAAAGGUAACAAUGGUGGCAAGAAAAACCCAACUCGGUGCAAGGCAAAAUAGGAAAUCGAGUGGCUCGCUCUAUGAUUUUGGGUAUGCCGCAUAGAUAAAUAAACGCACAUUCAGCUUUAAGCUGUUGGACAGAAUCUGGCUUACAG